This is a long non-coding RNA of Myotis daubentonii (Daubenton's bat), 956 nucleotides long. RefSeq lists it as uncharacterized. NCBI's taxonomy places the organism in Eukaryota, Metazoa, Chordata, Mammalia, Chiroptera, Vespertilionidae. The record is from RefSeq and is a predicted model, not a curated record.
GUUUCCAAGGAACUUACUAGUUGCCCAGUGAGAAGGGCACAGACAAAUUACUGCGACGCAGUGUGACUGGCACUACAAAUGGCCGGUUGUGGGCUGCCCUGUGCAUCCUUUGUGAGAGAGAAGGCCAGCCCUGGACUCCUCUGGCCCUGGCAUGGCUGCUCCCCGAGAUGGAAGAAGGUGAACUUGCAUGGGCCUCACCCGUCCCGUGAGAGCGGUGUGGGAAAGCUCACCCCACACCCUGGUUCCCAGAGAAGCAGACCGAGGCUUAGAGAUGAAGCCAUGUGUCAAGGUCAGGCGGUGAGUAAACCCCAGAGUCAGAUGUGCCAGGUUUUAAUGCCUGUUCUUUUCACGACUUUAUGUUGCCUGCAGUAAAAGCUUCUCAGAGCAAACAGGUAGGGCUGUUGGUUAAGUUCAAGCCAGGGUUGAGGUGGAAAUAUAUACAAGAGUGAUGAGUGCCCUGUUGGAGACUUUGCUGUGGCUUUACCAGCCAGCCCUCAGAAUCAAACCCACCCAGAGCCAGUUGAAAGCAGCCUGGAUCGUACUGAGCCAACAACCAUGGGAACGCCUCUCUUGCUGGCUUCCUUGACAGCAGAACAAGUUGGGAAUGAAGAACCAGGAAGCCACCGGGAGAAGAUUUUGCUACCGGGACUGUUUCCUGGAAUGCUACAGUCAUAUAAGGCUCAAACACAUUACCGGGGCAGUGGUAAAACGAGAACGGUUGUGGGACAAAGAAUACAUUGUUAAGCUGCAGCGUGGCACAGUUAUGGCCCGGAGCACCAGGUUAAAGGAAACUGACCUGGAGGAUUGGCUGGCACUGUUGGUAUACAGCGCCAGCCAAUCACAGGCUACGACCCCGAUCCUGAGAAACUUGCUGGGUUCCUGCCCUUUGAUUCAGAGAAAGCAGCUUUCCUGCUAGGGCAGACUCCCUCCCCCACAGAAAAUAAAAUAAAGUCAAU